GGAUCGAUGAUAACAGGAAGUAUCUGAGGACGCUGAUUGACUCAUACAAAUGGCAAUCUUAGGUCC
Small nucleolar RNA from Chionomys nivalis (European snow vole), 66 nucleotides. RefSeq annotates it as small nucleolar RNA SNORD109A. The transcript has a single exon. The record is from RefSeq and is a predicted model, not a curated record. Lineage: Eukaryota; Metazoa; Chordata; Mammalia; Rodentia; Cricetidae.